Molecule: transfer RNA, 82 nt
Filed under: Fusarium oxysporum f. sp. rapae
Lineage: Eukaryota; Fungi; Ascomycota; Sordariomycetes; Hypocreales; Nectriaceae
Also listed under: 6 other names
Description: tRNA-Leu
Rfam family: tRNA
About the family: Transfer RNA (tRNA) molecules are approximately 80 nucleotides in length. Their secondary structure includes four short double-helical elements and three loops (D, anti-codon, and T loops).
Source: RNAcentral
GUCAAGGUGGCCGAGUGGUCUAAGGCGCUGCACUCAAGUUGCAGUAUCGAAAGAUUCUUGGGUUCGAAUCCCAACCUUGACA